This 395-nucleotide ribosomal RNA is filed under the name uncultured bacterium. Its description in RNAcentral is "partial 16S ribosomal RNA". It matches the Rfam family "Bacterial small subunit ribosomal RNA", at positions 523 to 918 of the family's 1533-position model. The record is from RNAcentral.
AUACGUAGGGUGCAAGCGUUAAUCGGAAUUACUGGGCGUAAAGCGUGCGCAGGCGGUUUUGUAAGACAGUGGUGAAAUCCCCGGGCUCAACCUGGGAACUGCCAUUGUGACUGCAAGGCUGGAGUGCGGCAGAGGGGGAUGGAAUUCCGCGUGUAGCAGUGAAAUGCGUAGAUAUGCGGAGGAACACCGAUGGCGAAGGCAGUCCCCUGGGCCUGCACUGACGCUCAUGCACGAAAGCGUGGGGAGCAAACAGGAUUAGAUACCCUGGUAGUCCACGCCCUAAACGAUGUCAACUGGUUGUUGGGGAUUUAUUUUCUCAGUAACGAAGCUAACGCGUGAAGUUGACCGCCUGGGGAGUACGGCCGCAAGGUUAAAACUCAAAUGAAUUGGCGGGG